UCCCUGGUGGUCCAGUGGCUAAGACUCCAUGCUUGUAGUGCAGGGGGCCUGGGUUCAAACCCUGGUCAGGGAA
Molecule: transfer RNA, 73 nt
Filed under: Bos taurus (domestic cattle)
Lineage: Eukaryota; Metazoa; Chordata; Mammalia; Artiodactyla; Bovidae
Also listed under: 4 other names
Rfam family: tRNA
About the family: Transfer RNA (tRNA) molecules are approximately 80 nucleotides in length. Their secondary structure includes four short double-helical elements and three loops (D, anti-codon, and T loops).
Source: Rfam by way of RNAcentral